This 134-nucleotide small nucleolar RNA is filed under the name Chrysolophus pictus (golden pheasant). Lineage: Eukaryota; Metazoa; Chordata; Aves; Galliformes; Phasianidae. The record is from RNAcentral.
AACCAAAGAGUUGAGUUCAGUUCAGGGUCUUGUCCCUGUUCUGGUAAUUAAGCUUUGGGACAGAAAUGACUGGGAAGUGCACCCUGGUGACUGAAAGCUUGUUUUAUGCCACCUGUGUUUCUCAGCCUACAAAC